This 541-nucleotide long non-coding RNA is filed under the name Pan troglodytes (chimpanzee). RNAcentral's name for it is "lincRNA". Lineage: Eukaryota; Metazoa; Chordata; Mammalia; Primates; Hominidae. The record is from RNAcentral.
GAAUUCAAACAAUGGUUGCUUUUACCUCUUCGAUAUAAAACCCCAGGAAGGCUCACCUACCUGAAUCACUUUUGUGAGUAAAAUCAUAAUAUUUUCUGCUGCCAAACUGAUUAAAAUAAGUUACCAUGACACCAAUUCCUCAUUCCUGAAGAAGAUACGAGAUGACCAGCUGCAACUAAGCAAAUACUUUGCUCGCGUUCAGCCCAUAGGGUCUGAAUGCUGUUUUCCAGCUCCAGUCCAAACGAUUUGCACACCUGUUGAAGAGAAAGUAAAAUAUGACAGUGGUACAAACUCCGGGGGAUUAAAGCGAUUUUCACUGAGCUCUUAAAGCUGAGGAGGAGAAGGCACUCAGGGAAUGCUCCCCUCUUGGUGUUCUCUGUGUUCUCAUGGUGUGCAGUGUCAUAUACAUCCAGUCUCUGAUUUGCUGUACUUCCCAGGCUGAACAUAUGCUGCAGAAUACCUUUGAUGUUGCCACAAUUGUGCGUGUGAUCUUCAAUCACGGAUGUCAUCAAAUUUUAUUAAACUUAAUAUAGAUAAAACC